This 457-nucleotide ribosomal RNA is filed under the name uncultured bacterium. RNAcentral's name for it is "bacterial SSU rRNA". It matches the Rfam family "Bacterial small subunit ribosomal RNA", at positions 340 to 786 of the family's 1533-position model. The record is from RNAcentral.
UACGGAAGGCAGCAGUGGGGAAUAUUGCACAAUGGGCGAAAGCCUGAUGCAGCUAUGCCGCGUGUAUGAAGAAGGCCUUAGGGUUGUAAAGUACUUUCAUCGGGGAGGAAAAAACAAAACUAAUAAUUUUAUUUCUUGACGUUACCCGAAAAAGAAGCACCGGCUAACUCCGUGCCAGCAGCCGCGGUAAUACGGAGGGUGCUAGCGUUAAUCAGAAUUACUGGGCGUAAAGAGCACGUAGGUGGUUUUUUAAGUCAGAUGUGAAAUCCCUGGGCUUUAACCUAGGAACUGCAUUUUGAAACUGAAAUACUAGAGUAUCGUAGAGGGAGGUAGAAUUCUAGGUGUAGCGGUGAAAUGCGUAGAUAUCUGGAGGAAUACCUGUGGCGAAAGCGGCCUCCUAAACGAAUACUGACACUGAGGGUGCGAAAGCGUGGGGAGCAAACGAGGAUUAGAUACC